UACUAUGAACAACAAAUUCAAUCCUGAGUUGUCAAGGGUGCUGCUACGAUUUCAACAAAAAAUUUCAAUCAAAAUGAAUUUGUGUGUUAAAUGUUUGGUUUUGUUCGUUGGAAUCAUUUUGGUGACAGUGAAUUAAUCAUAUGUUGAUAAGACAAAAAAAUGUGGAAAAAAUGAAGAGUUCGUAGUAGAUUCUCAAGUUCCUUGUCAAAAGAUCUGUACUUUGAUCAACUUUGAUUGCUGCAUGGAGAAUGCAACGGUGCCAGUGAGUAAGUGCUUUUGCAAAAAGGGCUAUGCUAGAGACGUUAACCGAAUGUGCAUUCCGGUCAAUUCUACACAGUGUAAAAAAGAAGUUAUGAAAGAGCCAUGCUCACCUUGUGGAAGAAUUGUCGACUGCGGCCCGUUUUACUAAUAAUUUGAUUGACUUUUCUGGUCAAAAAAUGUUUAUCCGCAAGUAGUAUCUAAAAUUUUGUAAUAUUCCAAUGUUUAGUUACCAAUAUUUUAAGUAAUUGCUUUCAAUAAACUGCCAAAUCGGUUUCGUUGAGUUUCUAUCUUAAUUAGA
This is a long non-coding RNA of Contarinia nasturtii (swede midge), 559 nucleotides long. RefSeq lists it as uncharacterized. The transcript is spliced from 2 exons. NCBI's taxonomy places the organism in Eukaryota, Metazoa, Arthropoda, Insecta, Diptera, Cecidomyiidae. The record is from RefSeq and is a predicted model, not a curated record.